UACGUAGGGUGCGAGCGUUGUCCGGAAUUACUGGGCGUAAAGGGCUCGUAGGCGGCCAACUAAGUCAGACGUGAAAUCCCUCGGCUUAACCGGGGAACUGCGUCUGAUACUGGAUGGCUUGAGGUUGGGAGAGGGAUGCGGAAUUCCAGGUGUAGCGGUGAAAUGCGUAGAUAUCUGGAGGAACACCGGUGGCGAAGGCGGCAUCCUGGACCAAUUCUGACGCUGAGUGAGCGAAAGCCAGGGGAGCAAACGGG
This 254-nucleotide ribosomal RNA is filed under the name uncultured bacterium. RNAcentral's name for it is "partial 16S ribosomal RNA". It matches the Rfam family "Bacterial small subunit ribosomal RNA", at positions 524 to 776 of the family's 1533-position model. The record is from RNAcentral.